UCUUUUUCUUCUACUGCGGUUCUUCUCAUCUCUCUCGCAGGAGCUAUGGAUUCUUGAGUAUCCGUUUUUAUUUCUGAGGUUUAUGUGCUACUUCUAUAUGUUUGCCGGAAAUUUUUUUCUCCAUUUGAUCGACGUAGGAUGAUUGAUUAAUUAAGUUGUUUCUGCGAUUUAAGUUUAGUUGAUGUCGAGGAGAGGAAGGAGGUAACCCUAGAAAUUUUAAAUCUGUAUUUGUAUUGGUUGAUGUUUCCUGAUUUGUGUCUGCUUUAUGUGCUUGAUGUAGGAAAUUUAGGGGCAAAGUUUAUAACAUUGAUUUAGGAGGCAAAUUUAGUUUCCAAGACGAUGCAGAGGAAUGGAAAAACAAGAUUGGUUAACAACCUGGGGACAAUCGCCUACACCAAAACAACACCGACUCUGAAGCUGAUUCGAGGUUGGAGCACAAUUAUGCAAUUUAAUUGAGCCUAGUGUACUUAUGUACUUAGGAAGCGAAACAGAACCUGGAACUUGGAACUGCCAGGUUUGAGGUAAGGAUUGUGUUGGUCAUUUUUGAUAUGCUAUCUUAAUUCCCCAAUCCACUAGAUAGAUGGAGGUAUACUGUAUGUAGGGUUGAAGUCAAUUUUGUGCUAUAAGUAGAAAUAUGUUAAACUUUUGAGGGUUGAGGUAUCAUUUAGUUUGAAACGACUUUAGAGUGUCCAACUCUUCUAAGUUGCCUGAGACCUUUCGACAUCAAACGGUGCUCAUGGGUUUAACUUACUUCAUAAAACAGUUUAAUGGGUUUAAUUCACUUUAUACAACAACAUAGCACUGUAUCACUGUUUUCCGGUAACAUGUUCUACCUAUACAAUGAGAUUUUGACUGUAUGUUUGUAGCUGAAAUUUAAACUUAUAACCUAUUCAUUGGAUCUCGAGGAGGGAUAGGCUGAACUGAUCCUGAUGCGGCGCCGCAAAUCUCUAUGUAUGGAUAUGAGCCUGAGAAUUGUGGAAUAAGAAUCCGGGCUUACUGAAAUACUUCAAAUUGUUUGGGUUUGGAAGAAAGCCCAUGCAAACGGAAAAUGUACAGGAGGAAUUGGUUCAAUUGAUCAAAUGAGAUUGAUUUUAGUUACGUUGUAUUUUCCGAAAGAUCGUUUUAAUUUUCUCUUUAUUUAUUUAACGUCCUCCGUACCACUUCUGAAAGCCGAUGUCCUAUCCAUGCUUGAAUCAACGGUUGUGGUGUGAGUGCGUGGAGUUGAUAGGCUGAUUAGGGUUUCUAAAUUGAUGUGCAACCGAUAACUGUGAUUGAUAUUGUAAAAAAAAAUCAAUUCCCCCCUCUUCAGUUUUCAAUUGAUUGUUGUUGAAGAGGAGUUUCUUCCCUUACAAGAUAGACAGUUAACGUUGGACCAAUUAGAAUUUCCUGUUGUAGGAAAUGUCUCAUGACUGUGAAUUUUUAUGCUCUAUUUUAAGAAACCAGUAGUUUAACAUUUUAUUCAGUUUGUUACAUAUCUAUAAGGGGUUAAAAUAAAGUCGUUUUGUAAACUAAAUCCAUCAAUUCUCUUAGACACGGGUUUCGUCGCUUUCGUGAGGACUCUGGAUUCUAGCAUUCAACGCUAUACAAGAGUUAUUAAGAAGCUUAUAUGUUUAAGAAUACCAAUGAAGAGGGAGGAAUGAUGGAAAUGCCUACUUGAGCAAAUUCAUUAAUGAAGGUUUGACAACAAUUUGUGAUACCUAGCUCAGAAGUUCAAAUAUUCAAGUAGCUGUUAUUUAUUUUUUUAUCCAUUUAUUAUUUAUUCAUUUAAUAGAUCCAAGGGGUACUCAUAUAAGUUAAUCAUUCAUAUUGCAUUCUCUUCACGCUUUUGUAGAAUAGGCUGUAUUUAAAUUGCAUUACAUAUAUUUAGAGUUGUUCACUUUUAGUUAUAAAAUUUGACUGGCUUUAUAAGUACUACAUUGGAUCUGUGGUUGCAUGUUGUAUCAGUAUUUAUACGUUGUAUAGGCUGUAGAAUUUGUUGCCAUGGAUUUUAUGCUUCUGUUUGACAUUAAUUCCUGUACCCUUGAAAUCUUGUAUGUACUUGAAUAUUUUGUUGGUAGCAUUUGGAGGUUACUUGCUCAAGAGUAUAAGGUGGAGGAGCAAAUUUCAGACAGAGUGGGGGUGAAAAAAGAUGGUUCAGUACACCCAAAAUCAAAUGAAAAGAAAAUAGAACAACAACUAAAUGCACCGUCUCCAAAAUAGCUGUAAGUUGCAUUUUCUGUCAAUACAGACUAAAAUUUCUGCUAAUUUUUACAAUUCGUGAUCAUCAAAAGAUGUACUUUUAUUCGAUGGAAAUCUUCUUUUUUUCUUCCUUAAUUUAUUUUUGGUGGUGAAUUUCAGACUAAAUAUGGGAGUCUAGAUUGUUAACAAUAUAACGCAAUGUUGUGUUAAUUAGUUUGAUGUAAUUAGGAUUAACCUUAUAGUCUCUUCGAGAUACUGACAGUUAAGCAGCAGAAAGAUGAUUAACUUAAGAUUUAGUUAUGUAUCUCAAUCUUUAUUUGGUGGAAUAAAUUUGUUUGGUGUGCUUCAUUUUAAGCUUAUCUUCACUCUUCAACAUAUGGAUUCCAAAGCUCAUUCAGUAGAGAUGAUGUCAUGAUGAAAUGUGGUCACGACCUACUCUUUUAAAGAAUACAAGUUGCAAUAUUUCAUUUGUCAUCACGUAGAAAGAAACUGCUUAAACAUGGGUACUCUUCUAUUUGAUCAAGCAAAUUUCUUUUGAACCUUUUAACAACUCUGCAAGUUAAUCGUGCAGGUUUAUUAUUGACGGCAUUAGGAAACAUUACAUUAGAAACAGGGGAAAGCAAAACCCAUUUUUAGUAGUGCGAGACUUGGAGGUGUAUUUAUCGCAGCAAACAUGUUGUUUUGUCAUGUUCUGCUUCUCUUAUAUAUAAAAACUAGCAUAGCGCUCUUACGUUCAUGGAUGUGUUGUUGGUAUUUCAUUGUUGGUAUGCAAAUUCAUUGGGAAAGCUAAUCACUGUAAAUUUUACCGAGUAAUUGAAAUCCUUUUUGGCUGCGUCACUAUUGCAGUUGGCACAUUUGCUAUUGACAGGUCUCACUCGCUUCUUCUAGGUUUUCCUUUUGUGUCACAAACAUAUCAAAGUAGGGUUGCAGAGAACAGGAAAGUGGAGGCGUCGUCAAACGCCUAUUCUUCAUCAUUUCAUGCCAUUGAUUCUUAUGCUGUUGAAUUGGCAUCUAGAUAGUUAUCAUCAUCCAUACUAGACCCAUCCCGUCAUAUUUUUGAGGCAACGGUUAGUCAAUGUUAUUUUAAGUUUUGCUUUGAGGCGGUAUUGUAUAUAAAACUUUUAAUGAUUGUCACAGACUUUGUUGCAACUCCGUCUACAGCUAUUUCUUAUGCAUUUUACUGACAGUAGGUUCCUGGAUUUUACAUAGUACGGUUGUGUCAUAAUAAGAUUGUCUCUUCUCAAAAUUUUGGUACCCGGUUUAUAUUGAAGUAAAACAUUACCAUGUUAGCAAGAAAUACAUUGCCUGUGAUUCUCCAUAUUACUGAUAAAUCCUAUUACCAUGACUUUCUUCUCCAGAGGUUUUGGUAGCUACACAAAAUUACUGAACAAAUGGAGAUCUAUCAAGCAGAGUGACAAAUGUUUGUUGCCUUAUUUGGUUAGUUCUCACAUAGAAAACGGAUAUCUGUUUCUUAUGAAUUAGUUUUAUGCAGUUUUUUACCUCAUUUGUGCUCAAAAAAUUGCUUAUCCAGGAGUCAAGCUUCAAGGAUAAUUGAAACUUAAGGUGUUGAAUUAUUUUAAUUUGAUUUGCUUAUUUAUCAGUAAGCAUAUGUCUUCCUCUACUCUAAUCUUUGUGAAUUUAAUAGUACCAAGAGAUUUGAAGUAGUGUCUCAAGAUGGAUAAUGUUUACGACUACAUGCUCAAUGUACUUCAUAAUACUUGCUUUGUAAUCAAGCCACGUACAUUUGAAAUGGUAUCUGUUGUCUUAGCUCAAAUGGAAGAGCACAUGGUUUUCAACCAUGUAGUUGUGGGUUUGACUCCCACAGAUGGCAUUGUUACUUAUUUUUGUGUGCUAAAACCUUACAUGCUUCCGAUGGCAGAAACAGUGAUUCUUUAUUUGAUGCUCACAGAGUGGGAACCCCACAGAGGAUAUAGAGUCGACCCCAGGGUCUUUGAGAAGCUUUUAAGAAAUCUGCUUGCUUAAGGGAUAUUCCUUCAACUGUAUUGGCCCCAGAGUCUAUAUCGAUAUUUUCCAAAGGUAAAGAGAGCCUGAUUCGAAAAAGGGGGUUUAUUUGCUGCAUCUAAUUUGAUUAUUGUCUUUGGUCGUCAUCUCUUUUCUCUUUGGUUUGUGUUUACUAUUUUUUCUGUUUAAUCGAAGGCAGCAUAUAUGCUAGGAUGUUUGUAAAAACCAAAGAAAAGUUCCAGCUGAAGGAUCUAACAUUGAUUUGUCUUGAUGUUUAGCAUUUUUGCUUUUCAUUUCUUUGUUGCUACUA
Molecule: long non-coding RNA, 4450 nt
Organism: Papaver somniferum (opium poppy)
Lineage: Eukaryota; Viridiplantae; Streptophyta; Magnoliopsida; Ranunculales; Papaveraceae
Exons: 4
Source: RefSeq, a predicted model, not a curated record